UACAGAGGUCCCGAGCGUUGUUCGGAUUCAUUGGGCGUAAAGGGUGCGUAGGCGGCUUCCUAAGUUUGAUGUGAAUCCUGGGCUCAACCCUGGACUGCAUUGAAUACUGGGAGGCUAGAGUACUGGAGAGGAAACUGGAAUUACGGUGUAGCAGUGAAAUGCGUAGAGAUCGAUAAGGAAGACCAGUGGCGAAGGCGAGUUCUGGACAGUUACUGACGCUGAGGCACGAAGGCCAGGGAGCAAACGGG
RNAcentral lists this ribosomal RNA (248 nucleotides) under uncultured bacterium. RNAcentral's name for it is "partial 16S ribosomal RNA". It matches the Rfam family "Bacterial small subunit ribosomal RNA", at positions 524 to 776 of the family's 1533-position model. The record is from RNAcentral.